RNAcentral lists this small RNA (5099 nucleotides) under Pan troglodytes (chimpanzee). RNAcentral describes it as "processed transcript". Lineage: Eukaryota; Metazoa; Chordata; Mammalia; Primates; Hominidae. The record is from RNAcentral.
CCUAAUUACACAUUUUGGGAGAGCAUAGCCGGGAAAUCGCAUCUGUGAAAAGAAAAUACAGUUUUUCCUUUAGAUGAGUUUGUGAAUGCCUGCGUGGCCCCAGGGCUCUGAGAGGCAGGGCCUAGAAUGAGUCCGAGUGUUCUCAGCUCCUGCAGCUCUUACCGUACCAAUUGCUGCCAACCUUCUGGGAUUCCUGGGUCCUGGAAACCCGGCAGCAACACUGUGUCUCAAGCCUACAGUGGGCACGCUGGCAAGGACUGCAGGCAUGGUCAUGACUGUUUUGAAUAAUUACAUGCGAGGAAUGUUUUUAACCAAAGGCCCCAAAGCAUCCGAAGCCUGGCUUCAAGGUGGAGGAGUAAGGAGGAUGAGUCUGGGACGUGGGGUGGUUCGUGGCGCAGACCUCUAUUGUGGAAGUGUCAUGAUCGCAUUCUUGGAUGUUGACUCGAUUCUAUAUGGGUCUCUCGAAUGGAACCCUUGCGAGUAGCUGGAGAACUCAACCUUCUAGACAGUGAUCUAGAUGUUGACACCAAAGUCAGACACACCUGGUCUCCUGGUGCCCUGCAGUAUUAUGGUCGUGCGGAGCUACAAGCAUCUGAUCACAGGUGAGGUCCUCACUUCCAUGGUGUUUUCUCCUGUGCUGGGGAAGGCAGCGUCUCCCUCUCCGCAGGAAAAUGCAUGCUGUCCCCAUAAGGAUGUGUGUGCGCAUGGGGGUGCAUUUUGUGUGCAUACAAUACACCAAAGAACAAAGAAUGAUGGAACAAAUAUCUGUGGACCCACCACCAAGAACUAAUUAAUCUUAGCAUUUUGUCAUUGUUCCAUAUCAUAAAUGACAUCAUUGAUGAAAAUUUCAAAGAUGCAACCUACAUAUUUUGUGGCUUUUAUAUUUUCUUAAAUGAUGUCGUUGUGCAACUUGCUUUUUUGUUACUAUUUUUGAGAUACAGUCGUGUCGAUGUUAUAGCUCUGGUGCAUUCAUUUGUAACUGCUGUCUAGUAUCCCACUAAAUAUAUCCAUGGAACUUACAACUUAUCCAUUCACCUCUUGAUAAAUAUUUUCUCCAGGAUUUUAUGAUUACAAACACCAUAGGGUUUUUAAAUCUGGGAUGCACAACCUUUUUUUUUUUUUUUUUUUUUUUUUUGAGAGAGAGUCUUGCUCUAUUGCCCAGGCUGGAUGGAGUACAGUGGUGUGAUCUCAGCUCACUGCAACCUCCGCUUCCCAGAUUCAAGCAAUUCUCCUGCCUCAGCCUCCCAAGUAGCUGGGAUUACAGGUGCACACCACCAUGCCUGGCUAAUUUUUGUGUUUUUAGUAGAGACGGGGUUUCACCAUGUUGGCCAGGCUGGUCCCGAACUCCUGACCUCAGGUGAUCCACCCACCUUGGCCUCUCAAAGUGUUGGGAUUACAGGCGUGAGCCACCGCACCUGGCCCUAGGAUGCAGGGCUUUUUAAAUGCUCUGUGCAUCAUGCAUUGAGGAUAGAGUGGAGGCAGCAGAGGGAGCACCGUGGGCACCAGCACCUGUGCCCUGGGAUUGCUGCAGAGGAAGACUCACCCUGCAGAAUGUCUUUAAAGACAGAGGAGAGGAUGGCAUUUGAGGGUGUGAAGAAGGAAGAGUUUGAUCUUCCCAAGGCUGCUGCCUAAACUCUCAUGUCAGUUUCAACUUUUACAAGGAAAGAAAUUAAGAAAAAGAAGACCCGUGCUGGCGAUCGUGGAGGUGGAAGUUCAGGAAGUCGAUGUGGGUGCUCGGGAGAGGGUUUUCCAGGAAGUGUCCUCCUUCCAGGGCCCCCUGGAUGCCACUGUUGUAGUAAACCUUCAAUCACCGACCUUAGAAGAGAAAAACGAGUUUCCUGAGGACCUGCGUACUGAGCUCAUGCAGACCUUGGGGAAUUAUGGGACAAUUGUUCUUGUCAGGAUCAACCAAGGGCAGAUGCUGGUAACUUUUGCAGACAGUCACUCGGCUCUCAGUGUCCUGGACGUGGACGGUAUGAAGGUGAAAGGCAGAGCAGUGAAGAUUAGACCGAAGACCAAGGACUGGCUGAAAGGUUUGCGAGAGGAGAUCAUUCGGAAACGAGACAGCAUGGCCCCCGUGUCUCCCACUGCCAACUCCUGUUUGCUGGAGGAAAACUUUGACUUCACAAGUUUGGACUAUGAGUCAGAAGGGGAUAUUCUUGAAGAUGAUGAAGACUACUUGGUGGAUGAAUUCAAUCAGCCUGGGGUCUCGGACAGUGAACUCGGGGGAGACGACCUCUCUGAUGUCCCCGGCCCCACAGCACUGGCUCCUCCCAGCAAGUCACCUGCUCUCACCAAAAAGCAGCAGCAUCCAACGUACAAAGAUGACGCGGACCUGGUGGAGCUCAAGCGGGAGCUGGAAGCUGUCGGGGAGUUCCGCCACCGUUCUCCGAGCAGGUCUCUGUCGGUCCCCAACCGGCCUCGGCCACCUCACCCCCCGCAGAGACCCCCCCCUCCAACCGGUUUAAUGGUGAAAAAGUCGGCUUCAGAUGCAUCCAUCUCCUCCGGCACCCAUGGGCAGUAUUCAAUUUUGCAGACGGCAAGACUUCUACCAGGAGCACCUCAGCAACCUCCCAAGGCUCGGACUGGAAUAAGUAAACCUUAUAAUGUCAAGCAGAUCAAAACCACCAAUGCCCAGGAGGCAGAAGCAGCAAUCCGGUGUCUCCUGGAAGCCAGAGGAGGUGCCUCCGAAGAAGCCCUAAGUGCCGUGGCCCCAAGGGACCUUGAAGCAUCCUCUGAACCAGAGCCCACACCGGGGGCAGCCAAACCAGAGACCCCACAGGCGCCCCCACUCCUUCCCCGUCGGCCCCCACCCAGAGUUCCUGCCAUCAAGAAGCCAACCUUGAGAAGGACAGGAAAGCCCCUGUCACCGGAAGAACAGUUUGAGCAACAGACUGUCCAUUUUACAAUCGGGCCCCCGGAGACAAGCGUUGAGGCCCCUCCUGUCGUGACAGCCCCUCGAGUCCCUCCUGUUCCCAAACCAAGAACAUUUCAGCCUGGGAAAGCUGCAGAGAGGCCAAGCCACAGGAAGCCAGCAUCAGACGAAGCCCCUCCUGGGGCAGGAGCCUCUGUGCCACCACCUCUGGAGGCGCCACCUCUUGUGCCCAAGGUACCCCCGAGGAGGAAGAAGUCAGCCCCCGCAGCCUUCCACCUGCAGGUCCUGCAGAGCAACAGCCAGCUCCUCCAGGGCCUCACUUACAAUAGCAGUGACAGGCCCUCUGGGCACCCACCUGCCACGGGCACCGUCUUCCCACAAGGGGACUUUCUCAGCACUUCAUCUGCUACAAGCCCCGACAGCGAUGGCACCAAAGCGAUGAAGCCAGAGGCAGCCCCACUUCUUGGUGAUUAUCAGGACCCCUUCUGGAACCUUCUUCACCACCCUAAACUGUUGAAUAACACUUGGCUUUCUAAGAGCUCAGACCCUUUGGACUCAGGAACCAGGAGCCCCAAAAGAGAUCCCAUAGACCCAGUGUCAGCUGGCGCUUCAGCUGCCAAGGCAGAGCUGCCACCAGAUCAUGAACACAAAACCUUAGGUCACUGGGUGACAAUCAGUGACCAAGACAAGAGGACAGCACUGCAGGUGUUUGACCCACUGGCAAAAACAUGACUGAGCGGCUUUGAAGGCUGCAGUCCUAUAGAAUGCAUACCUUCCUCCCUCUAGGCAUCGCUCCACCAGAAGAGACAUCUAUUUAAAGGCACACUGGCCAAAACGUUUGUGCAUCUGUCACUCUCGUGUAGUUUACAAAAAUCGUGUCUCUUAUUCAGUAAGAUGGUUACUCAGCCACCAAAAUAUAUUUCACUCAAGGCUUGUACAUCUGAAGUUUGCUCUUCAAGGAAUGGGAACCUUCCUGUUAAAUUCGGUGUAUGGAUUUUAAGAAAGGAAUCUAGCCAAUGAGGUCCAAGAAGUUCUCACCCAUUGAAUUUUUAAAUGGCUGUUCAGUUCAUGUUGUACGUGGUGGAGAUUUGUCUUUUGUUUUAUUUGCAUUUUACAGAUUUGGUAUAACAUUUUGGGGAGCCACCUGAAGGUUGAUGUAUAAAGUAAGGAUUAGAGAAAGAGGUCGUUGUGACCAUUAGUAGCUGUUCUGGCCCACUUAAACAAGGUUACAAAAAAUCAGAGUCGGAAGCAGCCAAAUAGGUCAACCUAAUGACUAGACUGUACAUUCCCAUGAGCCUUCAUGUUUAAGUGUGUACAUGUGCGUUAACCUUGAUGAUGCGUGAAUCCCGAGGGAGCCGGUGGCAUACACCGUUAGCUUAACCUUAGCUUAAACUAGCUGAAGGCUCCUGUGCCAUGUCUUAGACAUUGCAUGCCCUAUCAAUUACUAUAAUCCUGAGCCAUGGUGUGCUACUGAAACCAAUUUUUAUCCACCAUCUAGUCCUUAUUAAAUGAAACCUCACGGAUCCUUUGUUCCGCUUAUAUUCCACGCAUACCACAUAAAAGCACACAGUGCGAAAACUCUUGCUGAUACGCGAUAUUCUCAUUGUUAGAAUAUGGAGAGUGUUUCAGCCUCGUCUGUCCGGCUGGAGCUUUGGGAUGGAAAGUGCUAUGUGUCCCUGCAUAUAAGAAUCACCAGGCCAGUGUUUCUGGGUUUGCUUGUCUAUAUGUUUGUCUAUAUUUUUUGCCUAUACAUUUUUCCCACGUUUCCGACAGCACUUCUCACCUAUUCAAUAAUUGAAAAAGACGUUACCAUAGUGCUUUACAUUUUUAAAGUAAUGUUACAAGGUCUGGAAUCCAUUUGGAGCAGAUACCGUGUUUUCGCUAUUUAAUAAGAAGUUCAGUAGUGAAAUCUUACUGUACCGCCUGUUGUAUCUGGGAGCCUCGUACGGAGGCUCGCACAGCAGUGAUCAAGUGUCAUCCCUUACGUGACUGGGGGAUGUCUGUCCUAAAAGCUGACCGCUAGGAUAGUAAGGAUCAUCUUGCCUGGGCUAUGCCACUGUCUUGUUACCAAUUAGACAUCUGGAAUUUCAUAAUUAGUUUUCAUUGUCACUAUCAAGAUAUAUUGCAGAUUACUUAAAUCUGGCCAUCAAAACAAAAGUUACAACACGUAUCUCUUUUCAUCUGAAAACUAAUACCUGGAAAAGGAUAAAAAAAAAAAAAAAAA